RNAcentral lists this ribosomal RNA (253 nucleotides) under uncultured prokaryote. RNAcentral describes it as "partial 16S ribosomal RNA". It matches the Rfam family "Bacterial small subunit ribosomal RNA", at positions 525 to 777 of the family's 1533-position model. The record is from RNAcentral.
ACAUGUGGGGCAAGCGUUGUUCGGAAUUACUGGGCAUAAAGGGUGCGUAGGCGGCUUGCUAAGUCAGUGGUGAAAUCGUCCGGCCUAACCGGACACGUGCCAAUGAUACUGGCGAGCUAGAGUGCGUGAGGGAUGGGGGGAACGAGCAGUGUAGCGGUGAAAUGCGUAGAUAUUGCUCGGAAGGCCAACGCCGAAGGGACCCCAUUGGUGCGCAACUGACGCUGAGGCACGAAAGCGUGGGGAGCAAACAGGA